RNAcentral lists this ribosomal RNA (433 nucleotides) under uncultured bacterium. Its description in RNAcentral is "partial 16S ribosomal RNA". It matches the Rfam family "Bacterial small subunit ribosomal RNA", at positions 29 to 507 of the family's 1533-position model. The record is from RNAcentral.
AACGAACGCUGGCGGCAUGCCUAACACAUGCAAGUCGAACGAGACCUUCGAGUCUCGUGGCGCACGGGGGCGUGAAACGAGGGGACCUGCCCUUAGGUUUGCGGUAUAUCCCCGGGAGACGUGCUCAUACAGCAUAAGGUCUUCGCGCGAAAGAUUUAUCGCCCCUGGAUGGGCCCGCGUUUGAUUAGCUAGUUGGUGUGGUAAAAGCCCACCAAGGCGACGAUCCCUAGCUGGUCUGAGAGGAUGAUCAGCCACACUGGGACUGAGACACGGCCCAGACUCCUACGGGAGGCAGCAGUGGGGAAUAUUGGACAAUGGGGGCAAGCCUGAUCCAGCAAUGCCGCGUGAGUGAUGAAGGCCUUAGGGUUGUAAAGCUCUUUUGCCCGGGACGAUAAUGACGGUACCGGGAGAAUAAGCUCCGGCUAACUCCGUG